UACGCAGGCGGGCUUGUAAGUCAGUGGUGAAAUACUGCCGCUCAACGGUAGAACUGCCAUUGAUACUGCAAGUCUUGAAUAUGGUUGAGGUAGGCGGAAUGUGUCGUGUAGCGGUGAAAUGCAUAGAUAUGACACAGAACGCCAAUUGCGAAGGCAGCUUACUAAGCCAUUAUUGACGCUGAGGCACGAAAGCGUGGGGAGCGAACAGGAUUAGAUACCCUGGUAGUC
Molecule: ribosomal RNA, 228 nt
Filed under: uncultured bacterium
Lineage: Bacteria
Description: partial 16S ribosomal RNA
Rfam family: Bacterial small subunit ribosomal RNA
Source: RNAcentral